RNAcentral lists this ribosomal RNA (565 nucleotides) under uncultured bacterium. Its description in RNAcentral is "partial 16S ribosomal RNA". It matches the Rfam family "Bacterial small subunit ribosomal RNA", at positions 355 to 911 of the family's 1533-position model. The record is from RNAcentral.
UGGGGAAUUUUGGACAAUGGGCGAAAGCCUGAUCCAGCAAUGCCGCGUGCAGGAUGAAGGCCUUCGGGUUGUAAACUGCUUUUGUACGGAACGAAAAAGCUUCUCCUAAUACGAGAGGCCCAUGACGGUACCGUAAGAAUAAGCACCGGCUAACUACGUGCCAGCAGCCGCGGUAAUACGUAGGGUGCGAGCGUUAAUCGGAAUUACUGGGCGUAAAGCGUGCGCAGGCGGUUAUGUAAGACAGAUGUGAAAUCCCCGGGCUCAACCUGGGAACUGCAUUUGUGACUGCAUGGCUAGAGUACGGUAGAGGGGGAUGGAAUUCCGCGUNUAGCAGUGAAAUGCGUAGAUAUGCGGAGGAACACCGAUGGCGAAGGCAAUCCCCUGGACCUGUACUGACGCUCAUGCACGAAAGCGUGGGGAGCAAACAGGAUUAGAUACCCUGGUAGUCCACGCCCUAAACGAUGUCAACUGGUUUGUUGGGGAAUUAGUUUUCUCAGUAACGAAGCUAACGCGUGAAGUUGACCGCCUGGGGAGUACGGCCGCAAGGUUGAAACUCAAAUGAAUU